GGUCUUUCACCCUUAGUGGCAAGUCCCGCUUUUCUAGGGGAGGGGCAAGUACCCCAACCCCUUCUCUCUGAGUCUCUACCCCUUCUCUGCUUUUCUAGGGGAGAGGCAAGAACCCCUCAACCCCUUCUCCUUCACCCUUAGUGGCAAGUCCCGCUUUUCUAGGGGGCAAGAACCCCCAAUCCCUUAUUUCCAUGCCCCAACCUCUUAUCCCUGUGCCCCAAUCCCUUAUUUCUGUGCCCCGACCCCUUAUUUCCACGCCCC
RNAcentral lists this long non-coding RNA (261 nucleotides) under Homo sapiens (human). RNAcentral's name for it is "HSALNT0311252". Lineage: Eukaryota; Metazoa; Chordata; Mammalia; Primates; Hominidae. The record is from RNAcentral.